Molecule: long non-coding RNA, 216 nt
Organism: Bombus terrestris (buff-tailed bumblebee)
Lineage: Eukaryota; Metazoa; Arthropoda; Insecta; Hymenoptera; Apidae
Exons: 2
Source: RefSeq, a predicted model, not a curated record
UCGAUCAAAUGCAGAAUCAGAACCAGUUAGACUCGCAUUAAUUUCGUCUAGUCAUCUUUUCGUUAGCCUGCUUCGUACAGUACGUAGGCUCCGCUUAUCGUCUAAGGUUGCGUGACUGAAGAAGAGUAUCAUGGGGUAAGAGGAACGCUUCUUGACUCGAUACACGAGAAAAGAAGCGCCGUGGUUGGUCAGGAGGUUGGGAAAGAACAAAGGACU